Molecule: transfer RNA, 77 nt
Filed under: Bacillota bacterium
Lineage: Bacteria; Bacillati; Bacillota
Description: tRNA-Val
Rfam family: tRNA
About the family: Transfer RNA (tRNA) molecules are approximately 80 nucleotides in length. Their secondary structure includes four short double-helical elements and three loops (D, anti-codon, and T loops).
Source: RNAcentral
GGGGAAUUAGCUCAGCUGGUCAGAGCGCCAUCUUCACACGGUGGAGGUCACAGGUUCGAGCCCUGCAUUCCCCACCA